This 489-nucleotide non-coding RNA is filed under the name Phaseolus vulgaris (common bean). RNAcentral's name for it is "Eukaryotic small subunit ribosomal RNA". It matches the Rfam family "Eukaryotic small subunit ribosomal RNA", at positions 620 to 1113 of the family's 1831-position model. The record is from Rfam by way of RNAcentral. Lineage: Eukaryota; Viridiplantae; Streptophyta; Magnoliopsida; Fabales; Fabaceae.
UGAAAUUCUCUGUACUUUAAAUGUAGAAUCUAGUCACCAUCUCAACAUCUUAACAAGAGUAUCAAAUCCACAUCAUUUAAAAACCAAUUGAUAAAAUAUUUAAAAAUAACAUAAUUAUUCCUAACAUUAAAUAUUUUGCUUCGAAAUAACAACAACUCAAUUUGUGUCAUACAAUAUUGUAACAUAAAAUUGAUAAUAAACACCAAAUUUUAUUUAUUUAAACUAUAUAAAUUUCAUCUCAAUUUCAAAUUUAAAAUAUGUUCAAAUUCGUAUUUCAUAGUCAGAGGUGAAAUUCUUGGAUUUAUGAAAGACAAACAACUGCGAAAGCAUUUGCCAAGGAUGUUUUCAUUAAUCAAGAAUGAAAGUUGGGGGCUCGAAGACGAUCAGAUACCGUCCUAGUCUCAACCAUAAACGAUGCCGACCAGGGAUCAACGGAUGUUGCUUUUAGGACUCCGUUGACACCUUAUGAGAAAUCAAAUUCUUUGGUUU